CCUGGGGGCCAAAGCUCCUUGGCAAAGCCUGAUCUUAUCAGAUCUCAGAAGCUGAGCAAGGCUGGGCCUGGUUAGUAGUUGGAUGGGAGACCAAUGGGAAUACCAGCUGCCACAGUGG
Molecule: ribosomal RNA, 118 nt
Filed under: Periophthalmus magnuspinnatus
Lineage: Eukaryota; Metazoa; Chordata; Actinopteri; Gobiiformes; Gobiidae
Source: RNAcentral